Molecule: ribosomal RNA, 398 nt
Filed under: uncultured bacterium
Lineage: Bacteria
Description: bacterial SSU rRNA
Rfam family: Bacterial small subunit ribosomal RNA
Source: RNAcentral
AGCGAACGUUUGCGGCGGGCUUAACACAUGCAAGUCGAACGGGCUGUUCCUUCGGGGGCAGUCAGUGGCGCACGGGUGCGUAACACGUAGGUAAUCAACCCUCUGGUUGGGGGAUAACACUUCGAAAGGAGUGCUAAUACCCGGUAUGGCGCAGCGGUCUUCGGAUCGCGGCGAGAAAGACCCGCAAGGGUUGCCAGAGGACGAGCCUGCGGCCCAUCAGCUAGUUGGCGAGGUAACGGCUCACCAAGGCGAAGACGGGUAGCUGGUCUGAGAGGAUGAUCAGCCACACUGGAACUGAGACACGGUCCAGACUCCUACGGGAGGCAGCAGUGGGGAAUAUGUCGCAAUGGCGAAAGCCUGACGCAGCCACGCCGCGUCGAGCGAUGAAGGCCUCGGUC